This is a long non-coding RNA of Alligator mississippiensis (American alligator), 3699 nucleotides long. RefSeq lists it as uncharacterized. The transcript is spliced from 9 exons. NCBI's taxonomy places the organism in Eukaryota, Metazoa, Chordata, Crocodylia, Alligatoridae. The record is from RefSeq and is a predicted model, not a curated record.
GAUUUUUAGUAUUAUAAUGAGCCCUUUGUUCCAGUACCUCUGAUUCUGUUUUUUGUUUUCAGGUUUCCUCUAUCUAAGACUGUCUGCUCCUUAUCAUUGCAGAUGGGCAUUCGACACAUAACAUUCACUUUUGCUUAGGCUUUGCAUAGUAGUUUCUAGGUCAAACCUUACACCAGGACAUCAUUCUUGUGGCAGAAAGCCACCUCUGUCUCUCCCCAAAGUCUCUGCUCUGUGACAAUUUGAUAAGGAUGGGCCCAGCAGAGAGACACAUCCUUACCCUAUGUCUUUAGGUAACCUGAGCUGGAUACAUUCCUGAGGGAGGGGGGAAACCUGCUCCCUCUGCCUACGUGACUGGCAUCACAUACCUGAGUGAGGGGCUUCCUUCCUGCUGGGCUAGAGUCUGCCCAGCAACUAGUGAUGUAUUUGAAAUUGGUUGGCUGACAGCCAACAGGUGCUGACCUCCAUUGGACCAGGUAAAUGAGGUCACAAGGGCUAUAUACGUUAAGGAAGGACUGCCAGGAGGAGGGGGCAGCAGCCAUGAGGGAUACUUAGGAACAAAGAAGAGCUGUACCAUCUGAAACUUGCUCUGUCUCUCAAAACUCAUGAUCAAGGAACUGCCUUCCUCCAGAGGGAAUCUCCAACAGCCUCUGGAUGAUACUUACUCUGUAUCCGUAGGAUGUUCCCCUCUCCUGCAGGUAUCUGGUGCUUUCUGCCAUUUGCUUGUUGCUUCUUUCCUGCGGUCCUUGUUGUACGGCAAUCAUCUGGACCCCUCAAAGAAGAGUCACCAGCAAAUAAAAUGAGAUAGCAAAAUAAAACAGAAGGCAACUGAGGAAUAGGCACAGGCCAGAAGGAAGCAAAAGCCCUGAAAUGGGGUACCCGUCCUGUACGUGAGCGGUGGGGAAGGGGGCACGAGGCGCGAGAAGUGGGGAAGGGUGUAUUCCCCACCCCGCCUUGAAACCUUGCCCUGCGACUUCAGGACUUCAUGCUGUGGGAUAGCUUGCACCAACAUUCACGGCAAUGAAACCCUAUUUACAGGAAAAUGAGACCGCUGCACCGGCAUCAGCAGCCAGCACUGUUGUUGAACCGGUCUUGAGGGCCCAAGUGUCCCACUGGGCUGAGUCCCAUCCGCCUCACAAGUCUCUUGUUCGUGGCUACGCUGCACCACACCAGACAUCAGCAGCAAACAUAGAACUGGUCGAACAGGGCCAGGAAACCAGCAGGACAUAUUUCAGCUCUGACACCUCUCCCAACACAUCUGAGGACCACUUUAAGAGAGAUGCUCUGAUACACGUCUGGAUUUGGCAUCGCAUGUGUCCAUUGGCAAGUUCAAUUUUUUUCCUCUUGUGCAGCUAGUAGUUACCCCUCAAUGAAAUGUAUUGCCAAAGUGACUGGAAAGGGUGAAGAGGACACAAAGGACUUGUCCAGCCUUCCUCUGGCCACACACGGGGAAUGGUGUUAUCCCCUCCUGCUGCCUGCAGAUCCCAUCCGUGAGCUCCAGCAAACACCUGGGGACCUCGACUGGUUCUAGCUUCGCUGGAUGGAACCUGACUGUUAUUCUCUUGCUCCAGGCACAACACUCUAAACCUGACUUUUCUAAUUAAACUUGAGCUAGAGCCAGGGGCGGGCAAUUAUUCUGGGUGGAGGGCCUCCCGACACCAGGAGCCCAGAAGAGUUGCCUGUCUGGAUUCAAGAUGAGAGCUUCUCCCUGCCCUCCAAGCCACCUGUUGAAGAGAGCCACCUUAAGAUUGGGAAAGCAGUUUGGCCAGUGGCCAAGAGCCUGGGAGGGGCAGGGCUGGAGAAGGGGCACAUUCACAGGUGCCACAAACAUCAGUCCCUAUGUGGCCAUUUGCUCGGGGCCCCCAAAGACAGCUAAGCACAAGAAAGUGGACGCAGAUUCCUCUCUCCAUCUUUCCUGGCUGCAGCCAGCAUCCUGUGAGAGACAGUGGGACCACUCCUCUGUGCUGGAAACUCCAGGGUGUCACAAGGACAACACCUCCCACAGCCUGUUCCCACCACCAAGUUGGGGCGUGGAAGUGAAUAAGGCUGCUAGAUGACAAUGUAGGUUGUGCCCUUGUCAUCCUUUGGCGAAAGACUGUGAGGGAAUGAGGCGGGAUAGCAUGGCAGGAGGCUGGGGUGCCUCGCUUACUGGAUCAUAGGGAAUACCUGGCGGGGAAAGUCUCUGGGGUUCAGAACAGAGAGAAUUGAACCCCCGACUUGUGACAAGCAGGACAAUGCAAGUCAAGGUGAGGGAGGGUGCCGGUGUGAUGUCAGGGUAGCCAAGUCAUCUAACUUGUCAGGUUCAAGUGUGGGCUCUUCCCUUGUCCAGUAUACUCUGGUCUUUCUCUGAAAGUGUGUGUUCAAAUCCCACUCUUAGCAUUAGCUUUUGGCUGGCUACUCUUACGUCUGAAUAACAGCCUCUUCCCAGCAACAGACUGUCUUCCAGCAAGCUUAGCAGCACCAGCACCUGCACUGCUCAUUCUCUGGGGGCUUGCCCCUCAAGAGGUGGGGCUGCACUUCCACCACUCCUGCAUUGGCAGUGUGGUUGGACUUCCAUGACAGCCUUCUCUCCUGCUUGAAGCCUCCCCACACCUGUGCUGAAGGCCUCAGGAGCAGGGAUUACUGGCCCGCCAAGUGCCAGAGCCCCCAGCGGUCCCAUCACUGGCAAAAUGGAUCCGAGUCUGAGAUGAAGGAGUGCUAGGGGCCACGGAGGAACAAAGUGUGGUAGAGAGAAUGCAGCUACCUAGCUUCAGGACUAUCUCUUGCAAGACAGCAUGAAGUGGAGGCUCAGGAAUGAUAGGGAAGCUGACCCUGGCAACUCAGGGAGGACUGGGGAGUGUAGGGAAUGGGGAUCCAAAGGCUGUAUUCCUCUGCUGGGAAUUAAACCAAGGAAGGGGCAGUGAAAGAAUCAAAUUCUGGCCACUAGACCACCAACGACUGCAGCUGGAAAUGUAGCCCAUGCCCACCCCCAUCUGUCCUUCUGUCCUGGUCAUAGGCAACACCUCCCAGGAGCACAAGGGAUUACAUGAGGCAGGCCCUGGGAGGUCUUUGAGCCCCUAGCAGCAGGGCUGGCUGGCUUGCCUUGCAAUGGCAAGUCUGCAAGGAGCUGUACUAGGAAGCAUGAAGUAUGGAGACAGGCUGGCCUUUCAAGUCCAGGAUGCAUUGGCCAGUGAUGAGGCAGGUUUGAAGGUCAUGGGAUUUGGCUGUCAGUGGACUGAUUUAUCCAUCAAUUCUCUUAUGUGGACUGGCUUGGCAGGUUUCUAAAAUUCAUGAUUCCUUUCCUAGCUGAAGCAAGCUGGGGGUGGGGAGCAGGGUGGUUUAUGUGCUUCGUGAUGUAGUUGGUACUAGUGCUAUGCGAGGAAUCUUAGCGGGGAUAAGGCACAACGCGACAUUUAUUGGAACAUAACACAUAAAACAUGCAACAUGAAAAGAAUAAAGAGCAGUAAGGUUAUUUGCUUCACUCAUUCCCAUGCAUAUUCCGUCAUUCAUUCAUUCAUACAAAAGAAACAAGCACACACACACACACACACACAGAGUUAGACAGUCCUGCAAAGGUUAAGGUGUUGCCAAGUUCUAAAGCUGCUCAGGUCAGUCUGGUGGCCGGCCAGGCUGACCACGAGAUGGAGUCAGGUCUUGUCGGACGCGCCCAAAACUCCUUCUUGCAGGUGGAAGAAGACCGAAAGCCUUGUCUUUGUGUUCAUU